Molecule: long non-coding RNA, 334 nt
Filed under: Elaeis guineensis (African oil palm)
Lineage: Eukaryota; Viridiplantae; Streptophyta; Magnoliopsida; Arecales; Arecaceae
Description: long non-coding RNA (EGUI_LNC069381)
Source: RNAcentral
CUACGGGAGCCGGACUUCAUCCCCGACUUCAAUUGCUAGUUAACUUCGUCUGGACUCCUACGGGAGCCAGACUUUGUCCCUGACUUCGACCAUAGGAUGACUUCAUCCGGACUCCUACGGGAGCCAAACUCUGAGCUCCUACUGCAAGCGACCCACUCCGAGUUUUUGUUGCAAACGAUCUACUUCAAAUUUCUACCACGAGCGGUCCAUGCCGAGUUCCCACCAUAAGCCUUCGCUCAAGCUUCCAUUAUGGAUGAAUUCCUUUCAUAUUUCUGUUGCAGACAGGCCUUGGCCGAGCCCCCUCAACAAAUGAUCCCCAUCCGGGCUUCUACGG